This 492-nucleotide ribosomal RNA is filed under the name uncultured bacterium. Its description in RNAcentral is "partial 16S ribosomal RNA". It matches the Rfam family "Bacterial small subunit ribosomal RNA", at positions 28 to 507 of the family's 1533-position model. The record is from RNAcentral.
GGUGAACGCUGGCGGUGUGCCUAAUACAUGCAAGUCGAGCGGAAGCACGAUAAGCUCUUUUUUCUGCUGUUAGCGGGUGGCGGGUGAGUGACGCGUGGAUAAGCAUCCUCUAUGUCUGGGAUAACUUCGGGAGACCGUAGCUGCUACUAGCUCAUAUUUUGUACCGCUUGGUUCAAAAGAUAUUCACGGUUUGCGUGACAGUAUUAGCUGGUGUCGGAUUAGCUAGUUGGCGUGGUAAGGUCACACCAAGGCGACGAUACGUAGCAGGACUGAGAGGAUGAUCGGCCACACUGGAACUGAGACACGGUCCAGACUCCUACGGGAGGCAGCAGUGGGGAAUCUUCGGCAAUGGGCGCAAGCCUGAUCGAGCCACACCGCGUGGGUGAAGAAGGCCUUCGGGUUGUAAAGCCCUGUUAUUGGGAAAGAAAAGAAGUAGGUUAAUCCGCCGCCAUCCUGACGGUACCUAAAGAAUAAGCCCCGGCUAACUUCGUG